AACGCGAAGAACCUUACCCAGGUUUGACAUACAGAGGACGGUAGCAGAAAUGUUACUUCCCGCAAGGGUCUCUGAACAGGUGCUGCAUGGCUGUCGUCAGCUCGUGCCGUGAGGUGUUGGGUUAAGUCCCGCAACGAGCGCAACCCUUAUCAUUAGUUGCCAACACGCGAGGUGGGGACUCUAAUGAGACUGCCUAGGUUAACUAGGAGGAAGGUGAGGAUGACGUCAAGUCCGCAUGGCCUUUAUAUCUGGGGCUACACACGUGCUACAAUGGUCGGUACAGAAGGCAGCGAAAUCGCAAGAUGAAGCAAAUCCCAAAAAGCCGAUCUCAGUUCGGAUUGUAGUCUGCAACUCGACUACAUGAAGUCGGAAUUGCUAGUAAUGGCGGGUCAGCAACACCGCCGUGAAUACGUUCCCGGGCCUUGUA
RNAcentral lists this ribosomal RNA (427 nucleotides) under uncultured Chlamydiae bacterium. Its description in RNAcentral is "bacterial SSU rRNA". It matches the Rfam family "Bacterial small subunit ribosomal RNA", at positions 958 to 1385 of the family's 1533-position model. The record is from RNAcentral. Lineage: Bacteria; Pseudomonadati; Chlamydiota; Chlamydiia.